CGAAGGGUGCAAGCGUUACUCGGAAUUACUGGGCGUAAAGCGUGCGUAGGUGGUGAGUUAAGUCUGUCGUGAAAGCCCCGGGCUCAACCUGGGAAUGGCGAUGGAUACUGGCUCGCUAGAGUGCGGUAGAGGAGAGUGGAAUUCCCGGUGUAGCAGUGGAAUGCGUAGAGAUCGGGAGGAACAUCAGUUGCGAAGGCGGCUCUCUGGACCAGCACUGACACUGAGGCACGAAAGCGUGGGGAGCAAACAGGAUUAGAUACCCUGGUAGUCCACGCCCUAAACGAUGCGAACUGGACGUUGGGAGCAACUAGGCUCUCAGUGUCGAAGCUAACGCGUUAAGUUCGCCGCCUGGGGAGUACGGUCGCAAGACUG
Molecule: ribosomal RNA, 372 nt
Filed under: uncultured organism
Description: bacterial SSU rRNA
Rfam family: Bacterial small subunit ribosomal RNA
Source: RNAcentral